Molecule: long non-coding RNA, 344 nt
Filed under: Anser cygnoides (Swan goose)
Lineage: Eukaryota; Metazoa; Chordata; Aves; Anseriformes; Anatidae
Description: lncRNA (ENSACDG00005008086.1)
Source: RNAcentral
AUGCUUAAUUUCCAACUUUUUAACUCUUUACCACAGUGCUGCUUUUCUUCCUCCACGUCCAGAAGUAAUGGAGGUCAAGUGAAUGGCUUCUACUUCCUUGUUGCAGUGCGGGUUAAUCCUCAGGAGACUGUACUUCAUGAACCAGGAGUUCAGGCUGAGAAGGUUUUGACGUCUUUCACAAAAGGGCAUAGCUGAACAAUAGCGCUUGAGCUAAAAACUAGGUAAGUAAGUGUAUUUCCCUUGCCUAUUUAAAGAUGGUCAUACAGGGCUUGUGCCAAAAAAAAAAAAAUUAAGAUGUCCUCUACUUUAACCACUGCCAGGCCCAAGGGCUAAGCACAAGAGGU